Long non-coding RNA from Passer domesticus (house sparrow), 2089 nucleotides. RefSeq lists it as uncharacterized. The transcript has 3 exons. The record is from RefSeq and is a predicted model, not a curated record. Lineage: Eukaryota; Metazoa; Chordata; Aves; Passeriformes; Passeridae.
AGGUCACUGAGUCAAGAUGCCAACCCAGCACCAUCAUGUUUUCCACUAAGCCGUGUCUUUCUAGAGCCAUGGUGCUGCUUGUCAUUCAGGAGGUUUUUGCUUGUCAAAUGAAAAUGUCUUUACAAGGAAGGUGGUCAAAAACUGAGUCACCAGGGUGUCAUGGCUGUAAACUGAACAACAAGCUCCACAGAGACUCUGUGGGCCUUUUGUCAGUAGGGACGGAGCUUCUGAAAUCAUAUUCCAAGGUGACAUUCUGUGGUCUGGAAAACUCAUGGGGAAGAUUAGUUUAUUUUAUUGCCAAAAACAUCAGCAGAAAAUGUGUAAUCACUGCCAGAGCACAGCCUCCUAGACAACUUUUCUGCUUGGCAAACUUGAUCAGGAACACUCCAGGAAGUGCUGAAUGAAUCAUCUGUAAUUGCUGAAGGAGGAACUCAAUUAUGCAGCAGGAUUUGGCCCUUAUUUUCCUGAAGCUGACAGAAAAAAUGAGCAACUGAUGAAGAUUGAAUCAGUUUAAAAGCAUACUAAAAAGUAGAUUCUUUCUAUGGACAAGGUGGAAAUAAGGGUCAGCCCUGCUGGAGAACAUCUUUGUAAACCAAGGUAUUUGCAGUGUUUCAAUGUGACCUCCCAUUCCCUCUCAUUAUCUUCCACUUAUUAACCCUGAUCUAACUGUUAUUGAUAGCUCUAUUAUUCUGCUUGGGACGUCAGUGACAGUCUCACUGACCUUGCCCUGGGUGAUCAGAAACUCAUUUAAUGCUCAGCAUACUCUUUGCUGAAGUGUAUUGAGGGAAAAGUAAAUUCAGCAUGAGAAGCAGGCAUGUGUUUUUACAAGGGUUUCUUGUGAUGCUAUUAAUUAUCUCAAGAGGUGCAUUAUUCUCCAUUAAAUAUACUGAAAACUUGUCUGAAUUCCUCUUCUGUCUAAGAGAUAAAGUUUGAAAUAAGAACAAAAGAAUGAGAAUUGCUAAUCCUUGAUGCUGCAUAGUGUUAAUUGUGAGAAAAUAGGCCAGGAAAGCAUGACUAAAUGAAAAACUAACAGUUCAAGAUUUUACAUGUUUUCAUGAUUCUCUCUUACUAGCAUGCCUACCUCUUGGGCAGUAUCAUUAGCUACUUUCUGAACACUCAGUGUCACAGAGAAUAAAAUCUCUCUUCACACUCUCAUAUUUGUGUAGUUGAUUUAUUGGCUAAGUGAUAACACUUUUGUUUUGUAUGUAUGUAAUCACAAGAAUUGCCCACUAGCAGGACCAGAUCAUGAGCACUUCAUGAAAAUGGGGAAAAAUUGAAACUCUUAGAAAAAUUCAAUGAGAAUUAUGUCUAUCUGGCUCUUCCCUUAAGCCUGGAAUUUUGUGGUACUCUGGCUUGGUAUUGCGGCUCGGGUUUUCACCUGUGAAGUUGCAGGGCUUAGGCUGUAAGGAAUGAUAAGUUUCUUCUAUUUAUUAAUUCAGUCUUAUAUAGAUAUAUUUGUUUAUGAUAAAGCUAUAAUGUAUCUCCUUUUAUUGUGAUGGAAACGGUCUAAAAAGUUAAUCUUCUGUAGUAAUGAUCUCCUUUUAUCUCUCUCACUUUCAGCAGUGGAAAUAGUCAGCCUGUUGAUUAAUCACUGCUUUUAAUUCCCUGUUUUGGUGUACUUCCAUGUAACUCCACUGCUUGCAUCACACAUACUAUGCAGGGAUAUUUAAUUGCUUUAAAAUAAGAUCAUUGAUGGAAAUAAGACAGAUGAGCUUUCCGUCUGCUCACAGAAGCAUAUGAGUACUUUGGUUUUGGAAAAAUACGGUUUUGAAAAUCUAGUAAAUCUAGUUUCACCAUAAAACUAUAUCUGUCAGUCUUAAUGGACAAAGUUCUGUUGGCGUGUUUGCUAAUUGGAGAUGAGAAGGUUGAGAUUCUGAAAAUGCUGGGCUAAAUUGCAGACACAUGAAAAACUACACACAUGUUCUUUGUUUCAGUGGUACUUCAUGUCAUCACUCCUCGUGUCAGCAGGAAAGUUACAAAUUAUCUGUUUAAUAGAUGUAGAGCACAGGAGGCUACAAAAUAGUAUUUGGUUCAAAUGAAAGAACAUUGUUUUUUCAAAAAGGAUGCCUGAAUAGUCCAUCAAAAUUGU